This is a long non-coding RNA of Oenanthe melanoleuca, 1156 nucleotides long. RefSeq lists it as uncharacterized. The record is from RefSeq and is a predicted model, not a curated record. NCBI's taxonomy places the organism in Eukaryota, Metazoa, Chordata, Aves, Passeriformes, Muscicapidae. The transcript has 3 exons.
CUCUCCUGUGCCUGGGGAAGCGGUGGUCAGGACUGCUGCCAGGCCCUGGCAAGGGAGCUUUGUCCUGCACUCCUAUGAGUCCUGUCCCUUCGUGAAUUAUUGGCCGUCCAUGUGUUGGAAUCCUUACAGCACCAGAGGAGUCUCUGGCCCCGUGUGGACCUCAGGUGUAGAAGUUCCUCUCAGACUGUGUCUGACAACCCUCAUUGCCCACCUGUUCCUGCACCCUGUGUGGAAGAAAGUCAAGCCUUGGGACAAAGCCAGGUCCUGGAAGGUCCAGUUGUUGGCUCCGUAAUGGACGACAGGUACCAGGCAGCGUACCUGCUCUGUGAAUUUUCUGCCAGCGCAUGGAUGUGACCUGCCUGCAGAUACACUCCACGUGUCUGUGCUUCCUGGGAAACACCCUACUGCUUCCUUUGCUGGAGUCUGACAGGGAGAUAAACAGAGCGAGGGAGAAAGAUGGAGGUGUUUUCAAUGGUUACCAAGUUUGGAUUAGUUACAGUUUUAUUAAGAAUUUUGCAAAGGAUAGAAAAAAGCAAAGAUGCAUUGUGGACUGUAGGUUUUUCCUGGAGCUGUCUGAAGCUGCACUGUAGAUGUUAAAAUUAUCAAGGCACUGGUUCUGUGGCACUAACAUAGAUUUAAUCAUAGCAUUGGCCAGAUCCAAGUCCUUGGUUGCUUCAUGUAGUUACAUGAAGCACCUGUGCUCAAAGGAGGAAAUUUUGGUUACGUUGCCCUGCAGUUGAUAUUGGAUAAUUUUUCUCAGGUUUGGAAAAUAAGGUCUCAGCUCAGUGCUGGUAAAAUACUGCUAUUUCUUAUCCCUGCCUUCCUGUUGUACUGCAGGGUGUAGCUUCCGGAGUGCUCCAUAACCUGUAGUGCCACAGGUGACACAAACUGAGCAAAGCAGCAUUUUCAGUGCUAGGGCAUGCCAUUGCUUUAGUUUAAUACAAGAAGUAGCAAGGCAGGCCCUUCAUACAGGUUUUAAAGCUUAUCCUGCAAGUAAUAGGGUGGGGUUUGGGGUAUUUUCCUGGAGUUUAACAGUUUUUAAAAAAUCUGUAUUGGAAAAUGGGUCCCCUUUGCCAAACCUCCAGCCCAGAUAUACAGGGAGAUGUUUACCGUACCUUUUGUUAUAAAGUUUUCAAGUAAAGAUUUUCACUCACUA